GAUGAAGAACGCAGCGAAAUGCGAUAAGUAAUGUGAAUUGAAGAAUUCAGUGAAUCAUCGAAUCUUUGAACGCACAUUGCGCCCCCUGGUAUUCCGGGGGGCAUGCCUGUCCGAGCGUCAUUACAACCCUCAAGCUCAGCUUGGUGUUGGGCCCCGCCGCCCCGGCGGGCCCUAAAGUCAGUGGCGGUGCCGUCCGGCUCCGAGCGUAGUAAUUCUUCUCGCUCUGGAGGUCCGGUCGUGUGCUCGCCAGCAACCCCCAAUUUUUUUCAGGUUGACCUCGGAUCAGGUAGGGAUACCCGCUGAACUUAAGCAUAUCAAUAAGCGGAGGA
This 329-nucleotide unclassified non-coding RNA is filed under the name soil metagenome. Its description in RNAcentral is "partial contains 5.8S ribosomal RNA, internal transcribed spacer 2, and large subunit ribosomal RNA". The stretch from base 1 to 120 matches the Rfam family "5.8S ribosomal RNA", at positions 35 to 154 of the family's 154-position model. The record is from RNAcentral.